RNAcentral lists this ribosomal RNA (444 nucleotides) under uncultured bacterium. RNAcentral's name for it is "bacterial SSU rRNA". It matches the Rfam family "Bacterial small subunit ribosomal RNA", at positions 330 to 792 of the family's 1533-position model. The record is from RNAcentral.
UCCAGACUCCUACGGGAGGCAGCAGUGGGGAAUAUUGCACAAUGGGGGAACCCUGAUGCAGCGACGCCGCGUGGGCGAUGGAGUGCUUCGGCAUGUAAAGCCCUAUCAGCAGGGAAGAAAAUGACGGUACCUGACUAAGAAGCCCCGGCUAAAUACGUGCCAGCAGCCGCGGUAAUACGUAUGGGGCAAGCGUUAUCCGGAUUUACUGGGUGUAAAGGGAGCGUAGGCGGCCUGGCAAGCCUGAUGUGAAAUACCGGGGCCCAACCCCGGGGCUGCAUUGGGAACUGCCAGGCUGGAGUGCCGGAGAGGCAGGCGGAAUUCCUAGUGUAGCGGUGAAAUGCGUAGAUAUUAGGAGGAACACCAGUGGCGAAGGCGGCUUACUGGACUGUAACUGACGUUGAGGCUCGAAAGCGUGGGGAGCCAACAGGAUUAGAUACCCGAGUA